Ananas comosus (pineapple) is the source of this 537-nucleotide long non-coding RNA. RefSeq lists it as uncharacterized. NCBI's taxonomy places the organism in Eukaryota, Viridiplantae, Streptophyta, Magnoliopsida, Poales, Bromeliaceae. The record is from RefSeq and is a predicted model, not a curated record. The transcript is spliced from 3 exons.
UGCAUUGCUUUGGCGAAAUCAGCAUUUUUCUGCUUGCUGUACCGGUACAGCCACAUCGUGUACCGGUACGCAGUGCCAGAUACGUGGCAGUAAGGCUAUUUCGGUAAAUUCACAUCUUAUCUCUAUCCAUAUCACCCCAGCCCGACCCCUGGACCUUUGUGGAUGAUGCUAGAGCUCUGAGAAGCAGCCUUGCACCUCUCUUACUCUCUCACUCUAGAAGUUUUCUCUCUCUACAUAGAAAUCAACGAUUUAGCUCGAUUUCGUCGCCUCGCUUGUUCUUCGCUGCUUGCGAGUGGCGCUGAGCCCUUGUGGACGUGUGAGAGGGUAUUUUGGAAGGUUUUUCGCAGCACCAAACCAGUGGGUUGCUGGUUCGAAGCUUGGUGUGCUAAAGGAAAAGGGGAUUUGCUGCUGUAACAGGAUCAGAUAUUGUAGCUUAGCUCAGUUGAGACUGAGUUUAUGAUCUAAGAAGCAGGUUUUCGAAUUACAUUGAGCUUAAUUGGUGACCUUUGGGACUGGUUUAGAAGGUGUUCUAACCUG